UGCAGUCGAGCGCAGGAACCAGAUGACCCCUUCGGGGUGAUUCUGGUGGAAUGAGCGGCGGACGGGUGAGUAACACGUGGGCAACCUGCCUGUAAGACUGGGAUAACUUCGGGAAACCGGAGCUAAUACCGGAUAGUAUUUCCUUUCUCCUGAUUGGAAAUGGAAAGACGGUUUCGGCUGUCACUUACAGAUGGGCCCGCGGUGCAUUAGCUAGUUGGUGGGGUAAUGGCCCACCAAGGCGACGAUGCAUAGCCGACCUGAGAGGGUGAUCGGCCACACUGGGACUGAGACACGGCCCAGACUCCUACGGGAGGCAGCAGUAGGGAAUCUUCCGCAAUGGACGAAAGUCUGACGGAGCAACGCCGCGUGAGCGAUGAAGGCCUUCGGGUCGUAAAGCUCUGUUGUUAGGGAAGAACAAGUACGAGAGUAACUGCUCGUACCUUGACGGUACCUAACCAGAAAGCCCCGGCUAACUACGUGCCAGCAGCCGCGGUAAUACGUAGGGGGCAAGCGUUGUCCGGAAUUAUUGGGCGUAAAGGGCUCGUAGGCGGUUUCUUAAGUCUGAUGUGAAAGCCCACAGCUCAACUGUGGAGGGUCAUUGGAAACUGGGGAACUUGAGUGCAGAAGAGGAGAGUGGAAUUCCACGUGUAGCGGUGAAAUGCGUAGAUAUGUGGAGGAACACCAGUGGCGAAGGCGACUCUCUGGUCUGUAACUGACGCUGAGGAGCGAAAGCGUGGGGAGCAAACAGGAUUAGAUACCCUGGUAGUCCACGCCGUAAACGAUGAGUGCUAGGUGUUAGGGGGUUUCCGCCCCUUAGUGCUGAAGUUAACGCAUUAAAGCACUCCGCCUGGGGAGUACGGCCGCAAGGCUGAAACUCAAAAGAAUUGACGGGGGCCCGCACAAGCGGUGGAGCAUGGUGG
Molecule: ribosomal RNA, 920 nt
Filed under: Terribacillus sp.
Lineage: Bacteria; Bacillati; Bacillota; Bacilli; Caryophanales; Bacillaceae
Description: bacterial SSU rRNA
Rfam family: Bacterial small subunit ribosomal RNA
Source: RNAcentral